GACGAACGCUGGCGGCGCGCUUAACACAUGCAAGUCGAACGGAAAGGCCUGCUUUCCCUUGUGGAUUGCGGGUACUCGAGUGGCGAACGGGUGAGUAACACGUGAGUGAUCUGCCCCCAACUUGGGUAUAAGCCUGGGAAACUGGGUCUAAUUCCCGAUAGGACUGCAGGGUGGUGCCUGUGGUGGAAAACGAUUUUCUAGUGGUUGGGGAUGAGCUCGCGGCCUAUCAGCUUGUUGGUGGGGUAAUGGCCUACCAAGGCGGCGACGGGUAGCCGGCCUGGGAGGGUGGACGGCCACAUUGGGACUGAGAUACGGCCCAGACUACUACGGGAGGCAGCAGUGGGGAAUAUUGCACAAUGGGCGGAAGCCUGAUGCAGCGACGCCGCGUGGGGGAUGACGGCCUUCGGGUUGUAAACUCCUUUCGACCGCGAGGAAGCCACCUGGUUGGAAGGGUGGUGACGGUAGUGGUAGAAGAAGCACCGGCUAACUACGUG
RNAcentral lists this ribosomal RNA (494 nucleotides) under uncultured bacterium. RNAcentral's name for it is "partial 16S ribosomal RNA". It matches the Rfam family "Bacterial small subunit ribosomal RNA", at positions 28 to 507 of the family's 1533-position model. The record is from RNAcentral.